GGCAUGAACAACAUAAUUAAAUUUCAAAUGCAUUUGACGUUCCAGAAAAUGAUACACUUUUCAAGACUUUGCUAUUCAUUUUUUUCCAUACCUGCAGAAGAUGCCAAACAAUCUAAGUUGGGAAAGAGGUUUGAUAAAUUUAAACUGUGUAACUGGGUGGACCAUAUCAAAUGAAACUCGUGUGUUUGUCUACUUUGUUAUCUUCUACAGAUUGGAAAAAAAUGCACAUUAAAAUCCAGGUAUUACAUAUAUUAAGUAUUUUGUUUUCUGAAAAAUUUACAUAUACAUAUAACAUCAAAACAAUGAAUUUUUAACCAGUAACCAGUGGCGGAUCCAGAACUUUUCAAAAGAGGGGGCCCGCUGACUGACCUAAGGGGGC
RNAcentral lists this long non-coding RNA (379 nucleotides) under Mytilus galloprovincialis (Mediterranean mussel). The record is from RNAcentral. Lineage: Eukaryota; Metazoa; Mollusca; Bivalvia; Mytilida; Mytilidae.